Molecule: RNA transcript, 2389 nt
Organism: Balaenoptera ricei (Rice's whale)
Lineage: Eukaryota; Metazoa; Chordata; Mammalia; Artiodactyla; Balaenopteridae
Gene: SLC52A2
Gene name: solute carrier family 52 member 2
Exons: 6
Source: RefSeq, a predicted model, not a curated record
GGGCGGGCCCCGGGCCUGGCAACACCAGCAGCAUGCUGUCCGACUGCAGCAGGUGGUAACCGGAGCCGCUCGGCGCCAGCCGAUCCCACCACCAGUCCUCCGCCGAGCGGCUCUGCGCCCCGGCCAGCGGCAAGAUCCGGACCCUUUGCCGCGCCCGCCUGCGGGCCACAACCGGCGCCAUAGCCACUCGCUGCGUUCCGGGUUCCGCCCAGGGAGAGCGGAAAAGGCGGCUCCUGUGGCGGAAGGGGUGGGGCCGGCGGAGGCGCGGCUUGCCGCGGGGGGCGGGGUCAGGGCCACGGGCAGGCCCUCCCGGCCCCCGAACUCCCCACUCGAUUUCCGGAGCGGGAUAUCAGGCGCUGGGGCGCGCCGGCGGGUGGUUUCUCCGAGUCCCGGCGGGUGAGUUGGAGUCCUCGCUCCCUCUCGGCUGCGUUUUCCGGCCCCACCGGUUCUGGGCUGGAGCCUCGACCCUGGGCCGGAGGCAGCGCCCUCGAAGUGUGGCGGGACGGCCGGUCGCCGGGUCAGGGAGCGCGCGGGUUCAGGACCGGGAGGCGCAGGCACCCCAGAGCACCGGUCGGCUCUCCGCCCCCCCGCUGACGCAGCGAGGGGCGGUGCCCGCCGCGGCCACACCCCCAGCCCCGACUUGGCUCCGCUGUCCGGGGUCUCGCAGAAGCCGCGGAGGUGUGCUUGGCGCCUGAGAGGUGGACCUGUCCAGGAGUCCUUGUCCCGUAUCCGUGGGGGUGGGGAAAGAAGAGCUGGCUGUGACCUUUGCCCUGUCUUGGAGGCUCCAGCCUUGGGCUAAAUGGCAGCACCCCCGCUGGGCCGUCUGGUGCUGACCCACGUGCUGGUAGCCCUCUUUGGCAUGGGCUCAUGGGCUACCAUCAACGGGAUCUGGGUGGAGCUGCCUGUGGUGGUGAAAGACCUCCCCGAGGGUUGGAGUCUCCCCUCCUACCUCUCUGUGCUUGUGGCGUUGGGGAACCUGGGUGUGCUGGCGGUGACCCUGUGGAGGCGGCUGGCCCCGGACAAGGGCGAGCGGACCCCCAUCCAAGUGGUGCAGGCGCUGAGCGUGGUGGGCACGGCCCUGUUGGCCCCUCUGUGGCCCCACGUGGCGACAGUGGCGGGGCAGGAGCACUCCGUGGCCUUCCUUGCUCUCUCCUUCGUGCUGGCGCUGGCCUGUUGUGCUUCGAAUGUCACUUUCCUGCCCUUCCUGAGCCGCUUGCCGCCUUCCUUCUUGCGGUCCUUCUUCCUAGGUCAGGGCCUCAGUGCCCUGCUGCCCUGUGUGCUGGCCCUAGUGCAGGGUGUGGGUCGCCUCGAGUGCCCACCAACCCCCACCAAUGGCACUCCUGGGCCCCCCAUUGACUUCCCAGAGCGUUUUCCUGCCAGCACUUUUUUUGGGGUCUUGUCCGCCUUAUUAGUCGUUUCAGCUGCCGCCUUUCAGGGUCUUCUGGUGCUAUUGCCGUCAGCACCGUCUGUACCUACAGGAGGCCCAGGGCCUGGCCUGCAGGUGGGAGCCCCAGGAGUGGAGGAAGAGGAAGAGGCCUCACCCCUGCAGGAGUCUUCCAGCAAGGCGGCAGGCACCACCCGCAGCCCAGAACCUGUGGCCCAUCGGCUGCUCUCCACCCGUGGUGUCUGCCUGCUGGGCCUGCUGGCCGUCACCAACGCUCUGACCAAUGGCGUGUUGCCUGCUGUGCAGAGCUACUCCUGCUUGCCCUAUGGGCGCCCAGCCUACCACUUGGCUGUGGUGCUGGGCAGUGCCGCCAACCCCCUCGCCUGCUUCCUGGCCAUGGGUGUUCUAUGCAGGUCCCUGGCAGGGCUGGGCAGUCUCUCCUUGCUGGGCAUGCUCUUUGGGGCCUACUUGAUGGCGCUGGCAAUCCUGAGCCCCUGCCCACCUCUGGUGGGCACCUCUGCAGGGGUGGUCCUUGUGGCCCCCACCUCCAGCUCCUGAGCAGGGCGCUUCCCUGACCCACUUCCAACCUGCGUAGAAGAGUCUCCUGGACGUCUGACCCUCUCAGAAAACCUCAAGCCAGGCCAGUGGGGGAAGAAGGCAGGACCUUCCUCGGCAGGACCACCCAGGAGGAGGUGGAAGAAGUUAACUGCAUGAUGACCAGGCUGUAGCCAUGACAGAAGCUGCCGCAAUUCCAAGAACUGGCCUCAAAGAAAAGGGAACAAACAGACCCUGGAACUGAAGAUUAACUGUACUUAAAACAAUCAAGAUGAUGCUGGUCAGACGACCAAAGACUAAUUUCAAGAUGACUGUCAGAGUUGACUGUGCUGUUUCUACACGUAGCCCCCUCCGUCUGUCUAUAAAAGCUCUUGCCCCCGAUUGCAGGGGGCGGGGGCAGUUGGCCUUUGGACAGGUGUCACCCCCCCACCAGUUGCUGGCAUCCAAAAU